This 465-nucleotide ribosomal RNA is filed under the name uncultured bacterium. RNAcentral's name for it is "bacterial SSU rRNA". It matches the Rfam family "Bacterial small subunit ribosomal RNA", at positions 338 to 795 of the family's 1533-position model. The record is from RNAcentral.
CCUACGGGGUGCAGCAGUGGGGAAUAUUGCACAAUGGGCGCAAGCCUGAUGCAGCCAUGCCGCGUGUAUGAAGAAGGCCUUCGGGUUGUAAAGUACUUUCAGCGAGGAGGAAGGCGUUAAGGUUAAUAACCUUGGUGAUUGACGUUACUCGCAGAAGAAGCACCGGCUAACUCCGUGCCAGCAGCCGCGGUAAUACGGAGGGUGCAAGCGUUAAUCGGAAUUACUGGGCGUAAAGCGCACGCAGGCGGUCUGUCAAGUCGGAUGUGAAAUCCCCGGGCUCAGCCUGGGAACUGCACUCGAAACUGGCAGGCUAGAGUCUUGUAGAGGGGGGUAGAAUUCCAGGUGUAGCGGUGAAAUGCGUAGAGAUCUGGAGGAAUACCGGUGGCGAAGGCGGCCCCCUGGACAAAGACUGACGCUCAGGUGCGAAAGCGUGUGGAGCAAACAGGAUUAGAUACCCCGGUAGUC